GAUUAAGUUAUUAAGGGCGCACGGUGGAUGCCUUGGCACUAGAAGCCGAUGAAGGACGUUACUAACGACGAUAUGCUUUGGGGAGCUGUAAGUAAGCUUUGAUCCAGAGAUUUCCGAAUGGGGAAACCCAGCAUGAGUUAUGUCAUGUUAUCGAUAUGUGAAUACAUAGCAUAUCAGAAGGCACACCCGGAGAACUGAAACAUCUUAGUACCCGGAGGAAGAGAAAGAAAAUUCGAUUCCCUUAGUAGCGGCGAGCGAAACGGGAAGAGCCCAAACCAACAAGCUUGCUUGUUGGGGUUGUAGGACACUCUAUACGGAGUUACAAAGGACGACAUUAGACGAAUCAUCUGGAAAGAUGAAUCAAAGAAGGUAAUAAUCCUGUAGUCGAAAAUGUUGUCUCUCUUGAGUGGAUCCUGAGUACGACGGAGCACGUGAAAUUCCGUCGGAAUCUGGGAGGACCAUCUCCUAAGGCUAAAUACUCUCUAGUGACCGAUAGUGAACCAGUACCGUGAGGGAAAGGUGAAAAGCACCCCGGAAGGGGAGUGAAAUAGAACCUGAAACCGUGUGCUUACAAGUAGUCAGAGCCCGUUAAUGGGUGAUGGCGUGCCUUUUGUAGAAUGAACCGGCGAGUUACGAUUUGAUGCAAGGUUAAGCAGUAAAUGUGGAGCCGUAGCGAAAGCGAGUCUGAAUAGGGCGUUUAGUAUUUGGUCGUAGACCCGAAACCAGGUGAUCUACCCUUGGUCAGGUUG
RNAcentral lists this ribosomal RNA (749 nucleotides) under Staphylococcus aureus. RNAcentral's name for it is "partial 23S ribosomal RNA". It matches the Rfam family "Bacterial large subunit ribosomal RNA", at positions 1 to 747 of the family's 2925-position model. Lineage: Bacteria; Bacillati; Bacillota; Bacilli; Caryophanales; Staphylococcaceae. The record is from RNAcentral.